CAGCUAGUUGGUGGGGUAAUGGCUCACCAAGGCUCCGAUCGGUAUCCGGCCUGAGAGGGCGGACGGACACACUGGGACUGAGACACGGCCCAGACUCCUACGGGAGGCAGCAGUGGGGAAUUGUUCGCAAUGGGCGCAAGCCUGACGACGCAACGCCGCGUGGAGGAUGAAGAUCUUCGGGUCGUAAACUCCUUUCGAUCGAGACGAAUGGCCUCCGGGUGAAUAGCCUGGAGGAGUGACGGUACCGAGAGAAGAAGCCCCGGCUAACUCCGUGCCAGCAGCCGCGGUAAUACGGGGGGGGCAAGCGUUGUUCGGAAUUACUGGGCGUAAAGGGCUCGUAGGUGGCCAACUAAGUCGGACGUGAAAUCCCUCGGCUUAACCGGGGAACUGCGUCUGAUACUGGAUGGCUUGAGUUCGGGAGAGGGAUGCGGAAUUCCAGGUGUAGCGGUGAAAUGCGUAGAUAUCUGGAGGAACACCGGUGGCGAAGGCGGCAUCCUGGACCGACACUGACGCUGAGGAGCGAAAGCCAGGG
RNAcentral lists this ribosomal RNA (532 nucleotides) under uncultured Acidobacteriota bacterium. RNAcentral describes it as "SSU rRNA". It matches the Rfam family "Bacterial small subunit ribosomal RNA", at positions 242 to 765 of the family's 1533-position model. Lineage: Bacteria; Pseudomonadati; Acidobacteriota. The record is from RNAcentral.